CAUGGCUCUGGAAACUGGAGGACUGGAGAGCAGGAGAGGGCGGUGGAACUCCAUGUGUAGCGGUAAAAUGCGUAGAUAUAUGGAAGAACACCAGUGGCGAAGGCGGCCGCCUGGCCUGUUGCUGACGCUGAGGCACGAAAGCGUGGGGAGCAAAUAGGAUUAGAUACCCUAGUAGUCCACGCCGUAAACGAUGAGGACCAAGUGUUGGGGGUGAAACCUCAGUGCUGAAGUUAACGCAGUGAGUCCUCCGCCUGGGGAGUAUGCACGCAAGUGUGAAACUCAAAGGAAUUGACGGGGGCCCGCACAAGCGGUGGAGUAUGUGGUUUAAUUCGAAGCAACGCGAAGAACCUUACCAGGCCUUGACAUGGGAUGCGAAGACGCAGAGAUGCGUUGGAGGCUAACAUCCACACAGGUGGUGCAUGGUUGUCGUCAGCUCGUGUCGUGAGAUGUUGGGUCAAGUCCCGCAACGAGCGCAACCCUUGUGGCAUGUUGCUAACAGGAAAGCUGAGGACUCAUGCCAGACUGCCGGUGACAAACCGGAGGAAGGCGGGGAUGACGUCAAAUCAUCAUGCCCCUUAUGGCCUGGGCUACACACGUACUACAAUGGCGGCUACAAAGAGCGGCGAGACAGUAAUGUCGAGCGAAUCUCAUAAAAGCCGUCCCAGUUCGGAUUGGAGCCUGCAACCCGGCUCCAUGAAGUUGGAAUCGCUAGUAAUCGCGGAUCAGCAUGCCGCGGUGAAUACGUUCCCGGGCCUUGCACACACCGCCCGUCAA
RNAcentral lists this ribosomal RNA (774 nucleotides) under uncultured bacterium. Its description in RNAcentral is "bacterial SSU rRNA". It matches the Rfam family "Bacterial small subunit ribosomal RNA", at positions 619 to 1400 of the family's 1533-position model. The record is from RNAcentral.